UCCGUAGGUGAACCUGCGGAAGGAUCAUUAUCGUGCAACCGAGGUGCAAGGGCUGUCGCUGACCUUUUAAGGGUUGUGCACGCUCGAACACACUCUCACAUCCAUCUCACCCUUUUGUGCAUCACCGCGCGGGCCCUCCUUUGCAGGAGGGCUUGUGUUUUCACAUAAAACUCGAUACUGUGUAGGAUGUAUUUUCCAUUUGCGGACACACGCAAUCAAUACAACUUUCAACAACGGAUCUCUUGGCUCUCGCAUCGAUGAAGAACGCAGCGAAAUGCGAUACGUAAUGUGAAUUGCAGAAUUCAGUGAAUCAUCGAAUCUUUGAACGCACCUUGCGCCCCUUGGCACUCCGAGGGGCACACCCGUUUGAGUGUCGUGAAAUCAUCAAAAACCUUUUUUUCUCCUUUGAACCUUUUUGGUCAGGGAAAAGGAUUUUUGGACUUGGAGGUCUCAUGCUUGCUUUUCACCUUUGAAAGCGAGCUCCUCUCAAAUGAAUUAGUGGGGUCUGCUUUGCUGAUCCUUGACGUGAUAAGAUGUUUCUACGUUUUGGAUUUAGCACUGUCCAUUGGACACCUGCUCCUAAUCGUCCCUUGGGACGUUGAUGGUGCUUCGGUCACCGCCAUCUACGUUGGUGGAAGGCUGAGCCCACACAAAACCCUUGACCUCAAAUCGGGUGAGACUACCCGCUGAACUUAAGCAUAUCAAUAAGCGGAGGA
Molecule: small RNA, 716 nt
Filed under: Russula paludosa
Lineage: Eukaryota; Fungi; Basidiomycota; Agaricomycetes; Russulales; Russulaceae
Description: eukaryotic LSU rRNA
Rfam family: 5.8S ribosomal RNA (bases 223-376)
Source: RNAcentral